Long non-coding RNA from Oreochromis aureus, 813 nucleotides. NCBI's taxonomy places the organism in Eukaryota, Metazoa, Chordata, Actinopteri, Cichliformes, Cichlidae. The record is from Ensembl.
UUUAAUUCUAUUGUGCAGUUAUUUGUUACCCUGAAAUGCUUUAUGCUUAACAACAGCUCACUAUUUUAACUUAUUUUUGAACUCUUGUGAUCAGUAUGACUAGUUUGUGUGAGUUUCCAUACUAAAAGAGCUGUAGUGAUAAAAUAAUUGGCAUCAGAGACACUGAUUUUUGGCAUGGUGUACUGCAGAAGUUUUUUUUUUUUGGCAUUAUUUACCUUUUAAUUAAACUGCAUUCUCUGUAUUGUAACAAAACUAACAUUGUUUAUAUGUCAGAAAAUUAGCAAACAUGAAUAAAUGGCGAAAACAAUAUAAUUAUAACAUAUAUUUUUAUUUUACUUAUUUUAGGUCUGUGAAGCCAAACUUGAUGCUGGGGAUUUAUUUUUGUCAGUGGAGUCAAAUGGUCUAGAUGAUCACAUCUGUCUUUGUCAUUUAAAUGAGGUGGACUUGCAAACUUUGCACUCUUUUGGGUAAAUUGCUGUCCACUACAUAUACACAGAAUGUGCACAGUAUUUCAGAUCUAAAAAGGGAGUAUGUAAUGGACUUGCUGGCUUUAAUGUAAAAAGCCUGUUGUGUAACUUUAAUGAGGCAGUUGGACUAAAACAGUAUUGCUCAUCAAGGUAAACAUCUGAGGAAUAAGGAAAUUGUUACUUGUCCUUUUACUCAGUGUUCUUUUAAUCGCACGUUUACUAAAGUUUUACAUCACAUAAGUCAUUUUCACAAUCAUUCUACUUUAAAAGAUUUCAAGACAGAGCUUAUUGUUCUCUGAACUUCCUUGUUUGCUGAACGGCAGGUUGAAGCAGAAUUUGCCCGUCU